This 83-nucleotide small nuclear RNA is filed under the name Chinchilla lanigera (long-tailed chinchilla). RNAcentral describes it as "U4 spliceosomal RNA (ENSCLAG00000020779.1)". It matches the Rfam family "U4 spliceosomal RNA", at positions 1 to 83 of the family's 138-position model. Rfam says of the family: U4 small nuclear RNA (U4 snRNA) is a component of the major U2-dependent spliceosome. The record is from RNAcentral. Lineage: Eukaryota; Metazoa; Chordata; Mammalia; Rodentia; Chinchillidae.
AGCUUUGCACAGUGGCAGUAUUGGAGCCAAUGAUUUUUAUCCGAGGCGAGAUUAUUGCUAAUUGAAAACUUUUCCCAAACAUC